RNAcentral lists this ribosomal RNA (515 nucleotides) under uncultured bacterium. Its description in RNAcentral is "bacterial SSU rRNA". It matches the Rfam family "Bacterial small subunit ribosomal RNA", at positions 10 to 507 of the family's 1533-position model. The record is from RNAcentral.
AGUUUGAUCAUGGCUCAGGAUGAACGCUGGCGGCGUGCCUAAUACAUGCAAGUCGAGCGAACGGAUUGAGAGCUUGCUCUCAAGAAGUUAGCGGCGGACGGGUGAGUAACACGUGGGUAACCUGCCCAUAAGACUGGGAUACCCCGGAAACCGGGGCUAAUACCGGAUAAUAUUUUGAACUGCAUGGUUCGAAAUUGAAAGGCGGCUUCGGCUGUCACUUAUGGAUGGACCCGCGUCGCAUUAGCUAGUUGGUGAGGUAACGGCUCACCAAGGCAACGAUGCGUAGCCGACCUGAGAGGGUGAUCGGCCACACUGGGACUGAGACACGGCCCAGACUCCUACGGGAGGCAGCAGUAGGGAAUCUUCCGCAAUGGACGAAAGUCUGACGGAGCAACGCCGCGUGAGUGAUGAAGGCUUUCGGGUCGUAAAACUCUGUUGUUAGGGAAGAACAAGUGCUAGUUGAAUAAGCUGGCACCUUGACGGUACCUAACCAGAAAGCCACGGCUAACUACGUG